Molecule: non-coding RNA, 434 nt
Organism: Onthophagus taurus
Lineage: Eukaryota; Metazoa; Arthropoda; Insecta; Coleoptera; Scarabaeidae
Source: RefSeq, a predicted model, not a curated record
AAGCAAUUAAUUGCGUUAAAACCGAAAUUUGAGCGAACUGUUGAGGAAUGCGAUGCAAGAAUUAAAGCGAAAUUCGAUUCUAUCCUUCAUACUCUUCAUUCAACUGGAGUAAAAGCUUUAGAAGAUUUCAUCGAGUGACUCAAUUACCACCACAUGGAACCGUACAUGAAUUAACCAGUAACGUAUUAAUGUUUCUCGAGCAAUUACAUAUUAGAAUACACCGAAACGAUUGGAAGAGUUUUAUCUCAAGAUCCAAGUUACGAUCUCCAAUACGAUAAAGCAAAAACCAGUAACAAAAAUAAAGUUCUUUUAGGAUUUUAUAUAAAGAAAGUUUUGGUUCAAUUAAGUCAUACUUUAUGCAGUAAGAGUGAGCAAUACAGCGAUCCAGCUUUAAAAGCAAUUUUUCGCUUAAAUAGUAAUAAUUAUGUAUUAAA